RNAcentral lists this ribosomal RNA (406 nucleotides) under uncultured Enterobacter sp. RNAcentral describes it as "bacterial SSU rRNA". It matches the Rfam family "Bacterial small subunit ribosomal RNA", at positions 50 to 452 of the family's 1533-position model. Lineage: Bacteria; Pseudomonadati; Pseudomonadota; Gammaproteobacteria; Enterobacterales; Enterobacteriaceae. The record is from RNAcentral.
UAAACAUGCAAGUCGAGCGGCAGCGGAAAGUAGCUUGCUACUUUGCCGGCGAGCGGCGGACGGGUGAGUAAUGUCUGGGAAACUGCCUGAUGGAGGGGGAUAACUACUGGAAACGGUAGCUAAUACCGCAUAAUGUCGCAAGGCCAAAGAGGGGGACCUUCGGGCCUCUUGCCAUCAGAUGUGCCCAGAUGGGAUUAGCUAGUAGGUGGGGUAACGGCUCACCUAGGCGACGAUCCCUAGCUGGUCUGAGAGGAUGACCAGCCACACUGGAACUGAGACACGGUCCAGACUCCUACGGGAGGCAGCAGUGGGGAAUAUUGCACAAUGGGCGCAAGCCUGAUGCAGCCAUGCCGCGUGUAUGAAGAAGGCCUUCGGGUUGUAAAGUACUUUCAGCGGGGAGGAAGGC